UCUAAGAGGAGGAGCUUACUCUAGAGAGAGAGAAGGAGGUUCGGCAAGAAGGCGGGAAGAAAGCGGCGAAGAAGCGGUGGAGAACGAGCCUCGUCGGAGUUGCGGGUCUUUGCCGGAAUUCGCCAAAAUCAGUCAGCAAAAAAGCGAGAAAUCUAGGCUGUUUGCUGUAAAAUUAUAUCGUCUAAGAGAUAACUCAACAAGGUUCGACGAGCGGCUCUAAAGGAAAGGAGGUAGCUAAAGAAUAAGUUUAAUUUGCUGUCUAUAGCAUGUUUAGAAUAUUUUCAUUUAUAUGCGAACCUAUGUAUGUCUUGGAUAUGUUUAAGACGUUCAGUUAUAUCUUGCGAGAGAUGAUGUCCAUGUAAUUCAUUUUGUAAACGUCUUGAACAAUUUUAUGAUAAAUAAAGUAUUAUGGUUGUGAACCAUAUCAGGUUCGAUCUAUCUUCCGCAUU
Long non-coding RNA from Diospyros lotus (date-plum), 449 nucleotides. RefSeq lists it as uncharacterized. The record is from RefSeq and is a predicted model, not a curated record. The transcript has 3 exons. Lineage: Eukaryota; Viridiplantae; Streptophyta; Magnoliopsida; Ericales; Ebenaceae.